UGAAUCACCAUAACAUGAAUUAAAACUCUACCUUUACGUCGUGAUUCACAUUGUGAGCAAUUUUCCAAAAUCUUCGAAAUCUUGAAUUCUUCAAUCUUCAUCAAUCCGCUUCGAUCCUUCAAGACUCCGACUUACUUUACGAAACUUGCCAAUACAAAAUCCUUAACAAUCUCCCUCUUUGGCAAUUUCGUGACAAAACUCACAUAACUCAAAAAUACAUAAAAUAUUCGAAGUUCAAUUGUCAUCACCAAAAUAUUGAACUCCUCGCGUGUAAUCCAAAUACAAUUUGAAACUCAAGAUUACAACAAAAACUCCUAAAACAGACUCUAUGACUUAGACGCAACUAGGAGUCUUGAAGUCUUGAUUUCCUUCUCCCCCUUUGUUCACAUCCCGAUCACAUCUCCCCCUUUGUUCUUGAACUCAUCAUCCUCUGCUUUAGUUCAAUGCCUGUUCAUCCAUGCUCUCCC
Molecule: long non-coding RNA, 467 nt
Filed under: Ananas comosus (pineapple)
Lineage: Eukaryota; Viridiplantae; Streptophyta; Magnoliopsida; Poales; Bromeliaceae
Description: long non-coding RNA (ACOM_LNC029207)
Source: RNAcentral